GAUGAAGAACGUAGCGAAAUGCGAUAAGUAGUGUGAAUUGCAGAAGUCAGUGAAUCAUCGAAUCUUUGAACGCACAUUGCGCCCCUUGGUAUUCCAUGGGGCAUGCCUGUUCGAGCGUCAUUUGUACCUUCAAGCUUUGCUUGGUGUUGGGUGUUUGUCCCUCGGGACUCGCCUUAAAGUCAUUGGCAGCCAGUGUUUUGGUUUUGAAGCGCAGCACAAGUCGCGAUUCAAGGCUAUCCGCCCGCUUCCACAAGCCUUUUUCACUUUUGACCUCGGAUCAGGUAGGGAUACCCGCUGAACUUAAGCAUAUCAAUAAGCGGAGGA
RNAcentral lists this unclassified non-coding RNA (324 nucleotides) under soil metagenome. RNAcentral's name for it is "partial contains 5.8S ribosomal RNA, internal transcribed spacer 2, and large subunit ribosomal RNA". The stretch from base 1 to 120 matches the Rfam family "5.8S ribosomal RNA", at positions 35 to 154 of the family's 154-position model. The record is from RNAcentral.